GUAUGUGAGAAGGCACACCCGGAGAACUGAAACAUCUUAGUACCCGGAGGAAGAGAAAUAAAACUCGAUUCCCUGAGUAGCGGCGAGCGAAACGGGUAGAGCUCAAACCAAUAGGCUUGCCUAUUGGGGUUGUAGGACACUCAAUACGUAGUUACAAAGGAAAUGAUUAGACGAAUUGUUUUGGAAAAGCCAACCAUAGAAGGUAAAGGUCCUGUAGUCGAAAGUAAUUACUCUCCUGAGAGGAUCCUGCGUACGGCGGAACUCGUGAAAUUCGUGCGGAUUCUGGGAUGACUAGCUC
Molecule: ribosomal RNA, 298 nt
Filed under: Mammaliicoccus sciuri
Lineage: Bacteria; Bacillati; Bacillota; Bacilli; Caryophanales; Staphylococcaceae
Description: Staphylococcus sciuri partial 23S ribosomal RNA
Rfam family: Bacterial large subunit ribosomal RNA
Source: RNAcentral